CAAGCAGACGAGGAUAGGCUUGGUCCUCUUGCAAUGCCACCGAGCUCGAUGGCUGUCCCCUUGAUUUGGUGCUGUGCCACUGAGAGCAGAGUCAGGCGGGCGUCAUCAUGAUGCAAACCUGGUGCUAUUAAUUUGGCAUAGAGUGCCUGCGAGUGUCUUCUUUUCUUGAUCACCAAGCAAUUAGUUUAUGCACAGGAAGCCCAAGGUUUAUGUACUGUCUGCUGUGACUUCUCAUUUCACAGGGGGGCUCUAAAGUAUUCUAUCUCGUUCCUCAACUCUUCCUCUAUGUCUGCAUCUUGGAGGGCAAGGUGUGCAUGUGUUGGUGCUUGAGUGUCAAUCCAUGAGCAAAAGUAACGGAGCAAGGGCCAACCGGAAAGUGCAUUGCAGGAGAGGAUUGAACUGAGUGUAGGAGAAGUGCGGGGUAAGCCCUGAGAAAACCAGACACGCAUUUGAUCUCUGUCUCCAUCUGACAGCACUUCUGUAAAUCUAUUGAGAUAUUCAGGGCAGGGUUGUGUGGAGGGAUGAGAUCAGACUCUCUGAGCGCAUCCAGCACGUCCCAGGAGGCAGCCCACGUCAGACUGUGCCCUGAUCAUCUUUGAUCGAGCUUUGAGCUCUAAAUCCUGCUUCCCUUACAUCGGCGCAAGUAUCUUGAACUUGGCAAGAUGUGGUCUUUUUAAUUUAGGAAGGCUGUUUUAAAAGUGCCCGAAAUGCUAGAAAAGAGCUCCUUAAGAAGACCAAAUUCUGGUCCCCAUUUCACUGUAUGAACCCUGUAUGAAUUUUUUAAUGGAACAGCCUGUUUUUUUUUUUUUUUUUUUUUUGCCAUCAGCAAGACCAGACGUUGGCCUGGCCCCACCUGCCCUGAUUAACUCCCAAAGCCCUUUAUUUGUUGACGCCAGUGACGUUAGGGCAGCAAUGUUUCCAUUCUCCAGACCUUGUGGUGCCUUUUCUUGUGGUGCUUACCCUUUGCAGGACUCCAGUCAAGGCAACCACUCGCAUCAAACAGCAACGCCAGUACUUCUCCUCUAGAUUAUGUGCCACUGCA
Molecule: long non-coding RNA, 1042 nt
Filed under: Gallus gallus (chicken)
Lineage: Eukaryota; Metazoa; Chordata; Aves; Galliformes; Phasianidae
Description: lncRNA (ENSGALG00010011739.1)
Source: RNAcentral